AGAAAGCUUGCUUUCUUUGCCGGCGACCGGCGCACGGGUGAGUAACACGUAUCCAACCUGCCCUUUACUCGGGGAUAGCCUUUCGAAAGAAAGAUUAAUACCCGAUAGUAUAGUGAUUCCGCAUGGUUUCAUUAUUAAAGGAUUCCGGUAAAGGAUGGGGAUGCGUUCCAUUAGCUUGUUGGCGGGGUAACGGCCCACCAAGGCAUCGAUGGAUAGGGGUUCUGAGAGGAAGGUCCCCCACAUUGGAACUGAGACACGGUCCAAACUCCUACGGGAGGCAGCAGUGAGGAAUAUUGGUCAAUGGGCGUAAGCCUGAACCAGCCAAGUAGCGUGAAGGAAGACUGCCCUAUGGGUUGUAAACUUCUUUUAAUCGGGAAUAAAGUGGUCUACGUGUAGACUUUUGUAUGUACCGAUUGAAUAAGCAUCGACUAACUCCGUGCCAGCAGCCG
This 449-nucleotide ribosomal RNA is filed under the name uncultured bacterium. Its description in RNAcentral is "bacterial SSU rRNA". It matches the Rfam family "Bacterial small subunit ribosomal RNA", at positions 73 to 517 of the family's 1533-position model. The record is from RNAcentral.